UAAAAGAAUUAAUUUUUAGUAGCCCCUGCUCAAUGAAACAUUAAAUAGCCGCAAAAUUUGUGCUAAGGUAGCAUAAUCACUUGCCUAAUAAUUAUAGGAUAGAAUGAAAGGGUCAACAUGUAAUCUUCUUUAUUAAGAAAAUUAUUUUAAUUUAUUAAGUAAGCAAGAAAUCUUACUUCCCUAGGGGGACGAUAAGACCCUGUCAAACUUCACCUAGAAGGUUUAGCUGGGGCGGCAAAAAACUAAAUCUUUUCAAUUAUAAUUUAAUUAAACCUGAAAUUCAGAUAAACAAGUUACUGCGGGGAUAACAGCACAAUCAUCUUUUAAAGAUCUUAUAAAAAAGAUGGCUUGUGACCUCGAUGUUGAAUUAAAGAUCUUUUAGAGGUAGUCCUCUGAAAAGAAAGUCUGUUCGACUUUUAAACCAUU
Molecule: ribosomal RNA, 426 nt
Filed under: Proshermacha sp. MYG349
Lineage: Eukaryota; Metazoa; Arthropoda; Arachnida; Araneae; Anamidae
Description: partial 16S ribosomal RNA
Rfam family: Archaeal large subunit ribosomal RNA
Source: RNAcentral